RNAcentral lists this long non-coding RNA (713 nucleotides) under Rattus norvegicus (Norway rat). RNAcentral describes it as "long non-coding RNA NONRATT003529". Lineage: Eukaryota; Metazoa; Chordata; Mammalia; Rodentia; Muridae. The record is from RNAcentral.
AUUUUAUCAGGAUACUUAUGGGCAACAGUGGAAAUAGACAAGUGAGGGCUUGUAAACGAUUCUGUCAAGAUCCGAUUGGCUCUAGAUCUACAUUCUUCAAACAAAAUUGGCGUAACUGUUUCAUCUUUAAGUAGCAGUUUGCUGCCAUUUGUAUUCAGCUGAAGAAGUCACUCUUGUGUAUAUUCUCAAGGCUUCUUAUUUUUCUUCUUUUCUAAAUGCUCUCGGACAUUACUGGGCUUGCAGAGGUCCCUUAUUCUGGGGUCACAAUGCUUUUACCGUUCCAAGCUUCAUCCUAGCUUCAGAACAAACUGUAAAUCAUGAUUUUGCAGAGCCUUUGGUUUGGACAGUUCUGUGUUUUGGAUGUGGAAUAGAUUACAUAGGAGUAUGACGUAUGCUGUAAAUAAAAGUACAACAGUACUUUGUCUCAGUACUUUUAAGGAAUUAAAGCAAACAGACUUAAGUUUCCUUGUAUUGAAAAUAACCUAUGACUGUAUGUUUUGCAUUCCUAGAAGCAGGUUAACUGUGUUUUUAAAUUGUUAUAACCACACCUUUUUGAAAUCUGCCCUACAAAAUUUGUUUGGCUUAAACGUCAAAGCCGUGACAAUUUGUUCUUUGAUGUGAUUGUAUUUCCAAUUUCUUGUUCAUGUAAGAUUUCAAUAAAACUCAAAAAUCUAUUCAAAACAAAAAAAAAAAAACAAAAAACAAAAAAAAAA